Molecule: ribosomal RNA, 440 nt
Filed under: uncultured bacterium
Lineage: Bacteria
Description: partial 16S ribosomal RNA
Rfam family: Bacterial small subunit ribosomal RNA
Source: RNAcentral
CCUACGGGAGGCUGCAGUAGGGAAUAUUGCUCAAUGGGGGAAACCCUGAAGCAGCAACGCCGCGUGGAGGAUGAAGGUUUUCGGAUUGUAAACUCCUUUUGUUAGAGAAGAUAAUGACGGUAUCUAACGAAUAAGCACCGGCUAACUCCGUGCCAGCAGCCGCGGUAAUACGGAGGAUGCAAGCGUUACUCGGAAUCACUGGGCGGAAAGAGCGCGGAGGCGGGAUAGCAAGUCAGAUGUAAAAUCCUAUGGCUUAACCAUAAAACUGCAUUUGAAACUGUUAUUCUAGAGUAUGGGAGAGGUAAGUGGAAUUCUUGGUGUAGGGGUAAAAUCCGUAGAGAUCAGGAGGAAUACUCAUUGCGAAGGCGACCUGCUAGAACAUUACUGACGCUGAUGCGCGAAAGCGUGGGGAGCAAACAGGAUUAGAUACCCGAGUAGUC